UGUUUCGGCUAGGGGGCCAUCCCGGCUUACCAACCCGAUGCAAACUGCGAAUACCGGAGAAUGUUAUCACGGGAGACACACGGCGGGUGCUAACGUCCGUCGUGAAGAGGGAAACAACCCAGACCGCCAGCUAAGGUCCCAAAGUCAUGGUUAAGUGGGAAACGAUGUGGGAAGGCCCAGACAGCCAGGAUGUUGGCUUAGAAGCAGCCAUCAUUUAAAGAAAGCGUAAUAGCUCACUGGUCGAGUCGGCCUGCGCGGAAGAUGUAACGGGGCUAAACCAUGCACCGAAGCUGCGGCAGCGACACUGUGUGUUGUUGGGUAGGGGAGCGUUCUGUAAGCCUGCGA
This 345-nucleotide ribosomal RNA is filed under the name Salmonella enterica subsp. enterica serovar Kentucky. RNAcentral describes it as "partial 23S ribosomal RNA". It matches the Rfam family "Bacterial large subunit ribosomal RNA", at positions 911 to 1253 of the family's 2925-position model. The record is from RNAcentral. Lineage: Bacteria; Pseudomonadati; Pseudomonadota; Gammaproteobacteria; Enterobacterales; Enterobacteriaceae.